Molecule: long non-coding RNA, 5038 nt
Organism: Ctenopharyngodon idella (grass carp)
Lineage: Eukaryota; Metazoa; Chordata; Actinopteri; Cypriniformes; Xenocyprididae
Exons: 2
Source: RefSeq, a predicted model, not a curated record
AUUUAUAUAUAUAUAAUAAAUAUAUAUAAACGAAGAAAAACAAAAAACAAAAUCACAUGUACAUAAGUACACCUUUGCUCAAUACUUUGUUGAAGCACCAUUGGCACCAAUUACAGCCUCAAGUCUUUUUGACUAUGAUGCUACAAGCUUGGCACACCUAUUUUUGGGCAGUUUCUCCCAUUCUUUUUUGCAGGACCUCUGGUUGGCUGGGGAGCGUUGGUGCACAGCCAUUUUCAGAUCUCUCCAGAGAUGUUUAAUCAGGUUCAAGUCUGGGCUCUGGCUGGGCCACUCAAGGACAUUCACAGAGUUGUCCCAUAGCCACUUCUUUGUUAUCUUGGCUGUGUGCUUAGGGUUGUUGUCCUUUUGGAAGAUGCCCCAGUCUGGGGUCCAGAGCACUCUGGAGCAGGUUUUCAUCAAGGAUGUCUCUGCACAUUGCUGCAUUCAUCUUUCCCUCAGUUCCUGCAGCUGAAUAACAGCCCCACAGCAUGAUGCUGCCACCACCAUGCUUCACUGUAGGGAUGGUAUUGGCCAGGUGAUGAGCGGUGCCUGGUUUCCUUCAGACAUGACGCUUGCUAUUCAGGCCAAAGAUUUCAAUCUUUGUUUCAUCAGACCAGAGAAUUUUGUUUCUCAUGGUCUGAGAGUCCUCCAGGCAGGCUGUCAUGUGCCUUUUACUGAGGAGUGGCUUCCGUCUGGCCACUCUACUACUAUUAGUGGAGUGCUGCAGAGAUGGUUGUUCUUCUGGAAGGUUCUCCUGUCUCCACAGAGAAAUGCUGGAGCUCUAUCAGAGUGACCAUCGGGUUCUUGGUCACCUCCCUAACUAAGGCCCUUCUCCCCUGAUCACUCAGUUUGGCCAGGCGGCCCGCUCUAGGAAGAGUCCUGAUGGUUCCAAACUUCUUCCAUUUACGGAUGAUGGAGGCUACUGUGCUCAUCGGGAUCUUCAAUGCUGCAGAAAUUUUUCUGUACCCUUCCCCCAAUCUGUGCCUCGAUACAAUCCUGUCUUGGAGGUCUGCAGACAAUUCCUUGGACUUUAUAGCUUAGUUUGUACUCUGACAUGCACUGUUAACUGUGGGACCUUACAUAGACAGUUGUGUGCCUUUCCAAAUCAUGUCCAAUCAACUGAAUUUACCACAGGUGGACUCCAAGCAAGUUGCAGAAACAUCUCAAGGAUAAUCAGUGGAAACAGGAUGGAUCUAAGCUCAAUUUUGAGUGUCAUGGCAAAGGCUGUGAAUACUUAUGUACAUAUAAUUUUUUUCAUUUUUUAUUUUUAAUAAAUUUGCAAAGAUUUCAAACAAACUUCUUUCACAUUGUCAUUAUGGGGUAUUUUUUGUAGAAUUUUGAGGAAAAUAAUCAAUUUAAUCCCUUUUGGAAUAAGGCUGUAACAUAACAAAAUGUGGAGAAAGUGAAGCGCUGUGAAUACUUUCCGGAUACACUGUAUAUAGCCCACCCCUAUGAGGACAAAAAAAAAACUUGAACUGAAUUGAGCUGUAUAAUGUCUUCUAUAGAGCUGCUGAACUGAAUUUUAAAUGACACUAUUUCACUGAUCUCUAUAAAUGACUGGAUUGCGUUCUAAACUGCCAGCAGAUGGUGAAGCCACCGGAAGUGUUCGAGCGACCAUAAAUAAAACGAUUCCCUACAAACAGAAGGAAUCAAUAGCCCCUUUCACACAGCAAUCCCAGUAAAUUACCAAAAAAUUACCAGAAUGAUUUUACCGGUAAAUACAUAAAUAUGCUGUUCACACAAGCAACAGCAUUCUAGCUUUUUACCGGUAAGAGACCAUUCACACAUUAGCAGCAAAAUACUCGUAAAUAAUGUGAUGUCAGUCAUCGGAAAUGAUCUUUAAAUGCUGCGCCGUGGUCUUUAUUUGCCCGCAUGAGGAGAAGCACUUUAGUUUUACUAUCUGUUCAAUUUGACAACUUUUUUUUGACGUCUCAGUGGCAGGCUUAACGGGGGAUCAAACAGAAUGCGUUUUUGCUCUUAAAAACACCAGAUGCUCAUAAUAGUAUCCAACUGCAGAGCCACAACACUGAUGAAUGGAAAAGAAGGCAGGGUUUUGAGCGCGACACGUUGAAAAAUCUGCGAGAUGUGGUGCAAUGGUCAAAAAUGAUCAACUAGCGCAUGUUUACAUAGAAAAACUAUUGAAAAGAUUACUGUAAACUGUGCGGAAUAAUCACAUAAUCUCUAUAGUAACUUUAUGAUUGGCUCAAAGAUGACUUCUUACGUCAGCGCGUUCUGAAUUCGUACGUGCUCAUACUGGUAAUCUUCAUUCUGCGUUCACACAGAGCAUAUUUCCAGUAAUUUACUAGCAAUGUUACAACUUCCCUUACUGGUAAAUAGCCAGAACCAAUUUACCGGUAUUUUUGAAAAGGUCCUGUUCACACAUGAUUUCUUACUGGUAAUUAACUGUAAUGUUUAGGCAUAUGGUCUUUUUGGGCAGGAUAAGCGAUAUAUAGCAGGCGUUAAAAUGGGUGUGUCUACUGCCCGCUGCCGACACUGGUAACUGAACUAACACAAAAUAGAUUUAUGUACGGAAUUAUGGAGGAAAUAUUAAGCAUGAACAUAUCUCUAGGAUUAUUAGCAGAAACUGAUUCGAAUUUACAUUAAAUAUUACAAUACAUACAAUACCCUAUUACACUAUAUUACAUUAAAAGGUUCACCUUGCAUCAUCUUGUUUAGAGCAACAGUGUAAAUGCUUGGAAAUAAAGCUUCCAUACACAGUCAGCGUCAUUUCUCUGAAUAAGUUGUGAAGCAUGUAUAUUAUUUCCAGAUGUCUUUUUGUUGACAAACAUCCACUUCAGACUCUUGGAGAUCUUAGAAAACCGUUAAAAAGCCACAGGUCAGCUCAAAUUCUAUGGCUUUUUACUAGCAUGACAGUUUGCGCAUGAAAUAAGUGUUAUAUCAAUGAGCUAAUUCAUUUAACCAACAAUUAAGUUAAUAUCUUUACUGCUUCGAAAUACAUGCUGUUAACGAAAACACUGUUGAAUCAUCACAGUUACUGUAAGAAUAAAAACAGUAUUAUAUAACACAACAAUUACAUAACCACAGUGAAUAACAUAAUUCGUACAUGGCAAAUUAAGUUCAUGCGCAUGCCUUACAAAGCAUAAAUCUGUAUUAAGAUUUCAGAAGAAUCAUUGUGACAUUUGUAAUACAAAUGCUGAGAUGUCUCGUCCGCCAGCUGAUCUGAUAUUUGCUACUGUUUUGAAGAUGAACGUAACUUUUAAUAAGCAGGGAAAUUCCCGACUUUAAACAAAUAACCAUUUAAAUGUUUAACGUUUACGUUGUAAGAAUGUACAGGGUGACUUCAGAUAUAAAAACGCUGACUUGUUAGGUAAUGUUUUCUCAUUAAAAUCAGAUUACUUCCUAAUUAAUUCAACAGAAUGUGAGGGAAUACUAAUAUCACGGCUGGUAAAGUGUGGCUUCACUUUUUAUGAUGUCGUGAGCAAUCCAGUCAUUUAUAUAGAUCAGUGCACUAUUCUCUUUUGCAGAGGUGCUUUAUAGCUGCAUCUAAAGUUGUUUCAUAAUUGAAGAACUUUGCAACAUUGACACUCUUAUUUCCCUGUUUAUUACUGUGAAGCUGCUUUGUAACAAUCAGUAUUGCACUAUAGAAAUAAAUGUGACUUGACUUGAUGUUUCUAUUGCCUUUUUUUUUUUUUUUUUAAACAGUGGCAAGUAAAGAGAAAAUUUAGUUUUGAACUAAAAAUAAAACUAAACAUGCAGGCCUACACUAUUUUAUCUAGAACCUUAGCUACAAAGUCCCAUCUGACAUUCUUAUAUCAAGAAAACUUUAGGGCCAUUUCACAUAGAAUGUGCCACACAGAACCAUUCCACUGCGCUACUUUUCCACUGUUUUUCAAUGUAAACACACACUAGAUGGACAAAUUUGACUGUUGCACUUGUCUUUUGCAUCAUCUAAUGCAUGACACAGUGUCCUAAAAAUGCAGCGCACAAGUUAAAAUAAGUUCAACUUUUAAGAAACGUGUCUUUAGACCCUUUUUUUUCCACUUUACUGAUCUGCAUCUUGCAAAACACGUUCUGUGUGAAUGGUCCUUUACACUUGCUUAUUCUUUUUUUAUUUAAAUAUUUUAGGAUGCCUUUUAUGAGGACAAUUCUUUACACAGAAUUCAGCAUUAAGCAACCUUAAAGAUGAAUUGUAAAACUUCAGCACCACCAUUGCCACCAAAUGGGUUUUCAUAUAGGUCUCCCAAAUAUGCCAAUGAUCAACUUUUGUUUUGACUUUAUUAGAAUCUAAACUGCAGCAAAGAUGCCCAAUCACAUCUGAUCGUGCAUGUAUAACUAGGCAAUCUCAGUGAAUAAUAACAUGGUCAGCCACUAUAGUUCAAUAUAGUUUCUACUUACUGAAUAUGGGACUAGAUCCAGCAGAAAAUUUGAGGAUGCAGAAGUGUCCAUUUAAGAUCUGAGCCCAGUUUCACCCAUGCAUACGUGCCUGCAUGCAUCUUUCUGCAUGCAUGAAUGUGUGUUGAUAUUCGGACAAGUCCCAAUGGAAUAUUUCAGUCAAACAUAUUAUAUUUCAUUCCAAAACACACAGCAGCAGUUGAGCGUCUGGAAAAAAAGACAUCUCAAUGUCGCAUCUGUUUUGACACAAUAGUGGGAGUGGUUCAGGAUGAGGAAGCUCAAUGGGGAGGAGACUGAGACAGAAUAAAAGUGUGAGACAGACACUUGAAAGACAGGUGACCCUACUAAGCUUCUUUGAAUGGCUACCUGGGUGUCUGCAGGCAAGGGUGGGUAGAUUAGAGCCUUACACUGACUGCUGGCUGCGUGCCAUUAUAUGGUUAAUUUUAGCCCUCGUCAUGACUGGAUUACAAGGACAAAGUAUGAAUCAGGGUUACCAUCAAAGGCUGGGAAGAUUAUCAUGGAGCUAAAGUAGAAAGCAGUGUGUGACCGAUCAGCAUCGCCACGAGCACCGCAUGGAUUCACCCACACCUGGACACGACCGAGGGCACUCCUGCAAGCAAGAGCACCCCCACCACUCACGUAUACACUUGUCUUUCAAUAAAAUCCACCCUCCGGGGCCUUAAACUGA